UGGAAGAGGACCAAUUUGGUUACAGCCCAGAGAUUAAGUAAAAGCAUAAUAUGAGAUGAAAUUGGGGAGGUAAACAGGGGCCAGGGCAUGCAGGUCUACAAUGAUUUUAAGAAUAUUGGUCAUUAGCAUAAGAGCAAUGUGAUCCCAUUGAUGUGCUUAAAGGACUGUCAUGUUAAUAUUUGCCUUGUGAAAAGAUCACUCUGGUUACUUUAUGGAGACUGAAUUGCAACGUAGCAGGACUCCAACACUGGAUAAGUUGAAAGCAUAAGUCCUGUAUCAUUUAGUAUGCCAAAUAAGCUGCCAUCACAGAAGGACCCUCGUAAUACAAUGGUUUACAGAGGGCAGAAGUUUAUUUCUCUCUUGCAUAACGAUAAGAGAGAUGAGUGCUGGUGGGCUGCCUCUCUUCUAUGCAGUCAUUCAGAGAACCACUUUUCUCAGUCUUAACGGUCUACCAUCCUGUGUCCCUAGACUAUUGUUCUUAUUUGCAUGGUCACAGUGGAGCCAUCUUCAGGCUGUCCUUUCAGCCCGUGGGUGGUGGAAAAAAUAGAGGGUAUACAAUUACCAUUUAUGCAAUAGUUCAGGGUUCGCACACAUCAUUUCUGGUAACAUUGGUUCAUGAAAACUUAAUCACAUGGCUGGCUACACACGUGGGAAGCUGGGCAGUAUCGUGACUAUGUUACCAUGUCCUUAUGUAUCGUCAAAAUUUAGCAGUCUCUGGCCCUAACAAGAUGUGAGAAUGAGGAAUGGUUAUUAGUCUAUACAUGGGCGAGCAGAAGUUCAUGGCCCUGUGUUCACUGUGGAUUUCGACACAGAGCCCGCUGUGGUGCUGUGUGGACACGACGCAAUGAAGGAAGCCCUGGCUGACCUGGCGGAGGCAGUUUCCUGGGGUGCAGUCAUCCAGGGAUCAGGGGUGCUCCAGUUUGGGGGGAUGUGUCUGGGCUUGAAUUGUUUUCAGCAGAGGAGAAAAAUGGAAGGAAGCCUGGCAUUUCUCCCUCAUGGCUUUGCAGAAUACGGGGAUGGAGGUGAAGAGUAUAGGAGACAGAAUUCAAGAGGAGCUGCGGGUCUGGUGGAAGCAUUAAAAAAAACAACUCAGUGGUGUGUAUUUCUUUAUGUAAUUCGCGGUAAUAGUUUGGGUGGAAUAAAUGCUGUUACAAACGGACUACAGAGAGAGAUGUUGGCUCAAGUACAGCAGAAGCUUUCUUUUUGCUCACAUAACAGAACUAAGGGUGAAGUGGCUGGCGCAACAGCCUUUUCAGGCACAAGGUUGACAGGAGCUUUGGUAAAUUUACCAUGUGACUUCCAGUGUCACCCAGGAUUCAUCUCCACAGAGCAACGAAAAUAGCGAACACCAAGGCAAAGAGCAAUAGGGUUUUUGACAGGCUGGAUACAGCAGUGGCCCACAAACUUCUUUCCCAUUCCAUGGGCCACCCCGCAAUCACAGGGCCACACCUGACUCUAAGGAACCAGGAAGUGUGGCUAUCUGUGUGCACGAAAAAAUACGAGAACAUGGAUUUUGGUAAUCAGCUAGUAGUUUGGGCAACAGUAAGUUGAAAACUGAAGUAACUUCUCUAGUAAUUUUUUGAGAAAUGUCACAAACAUUUUGCAAUAUAUGUAUGUCAAGUUAUUAUGCUCUGCACCUUAAACUUGUACAGUGCUGUCUGUCAAUUACAUCUCAAUAAAACAAAAUCAAAAACAGCCCUGGUAGUUCAGUGGUACAAUUCAGGCCAAGUCCUCACUGUGGACGGCUGCAUUACAGCCCUCAUGGAGGAGUGGCUGUGAAGGGAGGGGCCGCAGCAGCACAGACCCGCG
Molecule: non-coding RNA, 1809 nt
Organism: Manis javanica (Malayan pangolin)
Lineage: Eukaryota; Metazoa; Chordata; Mammalia; Pholidota; Manidae
Source: RefSeq, a predicted model, not a curated record